AUUGAACGCUGGCGGCAUGCCUUACACAUGCAAGUCGAACGGUAACAGGUCUUCGGAUGCUGACGAGUGGCGAACGGGUGAGUAAUACAUCGGAACGUGCCUAGUAGUGGGGGAUAACUACUCGAAAGAGUGGCUAAUACCGCAUGAGAUCUACGGAUGAAAGCAGGGGAUCGCAAGACCUUGUGCUACUAGAGCGGCCGAUGGCAGAUUAGGUAGUUGGUGGGAUAAAAGCAUAGCAAGCCGACGAUCUGGAGCUGGUCUGAGAGGACGAUCAGACAGACUGGGACUGAGACACGGCCCAGACUCCUACGGGAGGCAGCAGUGGGGAAUUUUGGACAAUGGGCGAAAGCCUGAGCCAGCAAUGCCGCGUGCAGGAUGAAGGCCUUCGGGUUGUAAACUGCUUUUGUACGGAACGAAAAGCCCCGGGUUAAUACCCUGGGGUCAUGACGGUACCGUAAGAAUAAGCACCGGCUAACUACGUGCCAGCCGCCGCCGUAA
RNAcentral lists this ribosomal RNA (498 nucleotides) under uncultured bacterium. RNAcentral describes it as "partial 16S ribosomal RNA". It matches the Rfam family "Bacterial small subunit ribosomal RNA", at positions 30 to 523 of the family's 1533-position model. The record is from RNAcentral.